Triticum aestivum (bread wheat) is the source of this 135-nucleotide non-coding RNA. The record is from Rfam. NCBI's taxonomy places the organism in Eukaryota, Viridiplantae, Streptophyta, Magnoliopsida, Poales, Poaceae.
AUUGUACUCCCUCCGUCCGGAAAUACUUGUCAUCAAAAUGGAUAAAAGGAGAUGUAUCUAGACGUAUUUUAGUUUUAGAUACAUCCCUUUUUAUUAAUUUUGAUGACAAGUAUUUUCGGACGGAGGGAGUAUUGU